GGGCAGCCAAGUCGUGAGGCGGAGCUAAUCCCUUAAAGCCAUUCUCAGUUCGGAUUGUAGGCUGAAACUCGCCUACAUGAAGCUGGAGUUACUAGUAAUCGCAGAUCAGAAUGCUGCGGUGAAUGCGUUCCCGGGUCUUGUACACACCGCCCGUCACACCACGGAAGUUGGGGGCGCCCGAAGCCACCUGGCUAACCCUUUUGGGAAGCGAGUGUCGAAGGUGAAAUCAAUAACUGGGGUGAAGUCGUAACAAGGUAGC
This 259-nucleotide ribosomal RNA is filed under the name uncultured bacterium. RNAcentral's name for it is "partial 16S ribosomal RNA". It matches the Rfam family "Bacterial small subunit ribosomal RNA", at positions 1244 to 1500 of the family's 1533-position model. The record is from RNAcentral.